GCUGUUCAUGUAAAUUUGCAAUAAAAAUUUGGGAAAUUUGUAGCCCUCUACUGAACACUUGAUCCCAGCAAGAGGCUUGCAAGGUUGUGUUGUCUGGUCUGAAAAAUAUGCUAUUCUGAGGCUGUUUGGCACUGCUCUACUCUUUAUUUUUCAACUCUGCUCCAUUCUUGAUUUAUCAAACAUCCUCAACUUCAGGAUCUCUACAAAAAAUAUGGAGUUAGGACAAACUCCAAAGAGGUGCUAUCAAAAUUCUGUACAAUAUGCUCUUGGAGCGGGCGAAUUUACCCACCAAUUCCACUGCUUACCAAAAAAAAAGGUUCACUUCUGUUCUCAGCCUUCGGCCGCGGCUCUUAUUUCUCUCAUGGAUCAGCUCAUGCAGAGGCCAAGAAACCCCAGCUGCCAGUCAUGGAUGGGCCUAAAGAGGUCUCCGGCGACAUGGAGCUGAAACAAAUAUAUGAUGAUCCUAACUUCAAUCAUGUUGUUGGGACGGAAUCUUAACAGGCAACACCGGAUUCGGAGGAUCCGGGGGGAGGCGACGGCCAGACUACAGGCGACGCCAUGAGUCGGGCUCUCCCACGCCAGGCGUGGCAAUGACACUCUAGGGCGCAGAGGCAGAG
Molecule: long non-coding RNA, 617 nt
Filed under: Zea mays
Lineage: Eukaryota; Viridiplantae; Streptophyta; Magnoliopsida; Poales; Poaceae
Description: long non-coding RNA (ZMAY_LNC005521)
Source: RNAcentral